This 250-nucleotide small RNA is filed under the name Aneurinibacillus aneurinilyticus. RNAcentral's name for it is "BsrG". It matches the Rfam family "BsrG". From Rfam's summary of the family: bsrE, bsrG and bsrH pair through intermolecular interactions with antisense sRNAs. SR4 interaction with the 3'UTR of bsrG RNA promotes bsrG degradation and inhibits its translation. SR5 also overlaps bsrG from nucleotide 163 to 52 (Rfam overlap check). The record is from RNAcentral. Lineage: Bacteria; Bacillati; Bacillota; Bacilli; Caryophanales; Paenibacillaceae.
GGCUCCUCAAGGGUGGUCUACGGCUCACUCCCUGUAAGAAAGGGGGUGAAGCUUAUGACAGUAUUCGAAGCAUUGAUGUUGAUGAUUGCAUUCGGCACACUAAUUGUAGCUAUACUGUCGUUUAGCCAAAAGAAAUAGGCCCCCUUGAGUUUGGAAGACCAGGGGACCUAUCUCUUGCUUUAUCCAUCGUAUGAGCCACGCCCUUGUUAGGGACGUCUAUUGUGCAUGACCGUUUGGUGUUGGUAGCACC